GACACGGGAGCCGGGGGCGGAACGUAUAUCCAGGCUGUAAUAUCGAAUGAAUGUAUGUGGUGUAGACCACCUGCAGCAGCACACACAUCAUGUAAGGGUACCCCUUUGGACAAAGCCUUUGCGGAGGCGACCCCCCCUAGUGGAAUGAGCCCUUAUGACCAGAGGCGUAGUGAGAUCGCGCGCCUCAUAAGCGAUAGAGAUUGUUUCCAUUAUCCGAUUAGAGAUGUGCUGCUUUGACACAGUAUCACCUGUACUGUCGCCGCCAAAGCAGACCAGCAGCUGCUCCGACAUAUGCCACUGGCCGGGGCGGUGGACGUAAGUACAGAGAGCCCUUACUGGACACAGUAAUUUGUAAUUCUCUUGUUCCGGUGUGAGGAACUGAGGAGAGCAGAAAGCUUGCAACACCACAGGCUGGGCAGCAGAUGUAGGAACUUUAUGAAUACAAUCCGGCCUAGGAUGUAGGGAGGUCUUGGCUAAUCCAGGGGCUAAGUCAAGGCAGGAAGGGGCAACAGAGAGAACUUGUAGAUCUCCUACUCGCUUGAGAGAUGUCAGGGCCAGCAGAAGAGCUACCUUUUUAGUCAGGAGCUUCUUGGAGACUGACUCUAAGGGCUCAAAUGGGGCAGCUGAUAGACGUUCCAGGACCACAGAAAGGUCCCAGGAAGGUAUGCAUGGUCUGCAGAUGGGCCUCAGCCUCCUGACGCCAUGCAUAAACCCCGAUGUUAGAGGAUGUUAGAGGAAUCCUUUCUGAUAUAGGAAAACACUUUGAUGUUGGGUUUCAGGUAAGGAUACAUCUCUUAAAAACCUUGAACCUAGAACACUUACAGGCUUUUCUGAUUGAACUUCAAAAGUUCUUAAAUGUUAUGUGUAAAACUGGGUGAUUCCCUAUCAGAAAGGGUUCCAAGUCAAACCCCAUUCUGGAAGCUAAGAACCUUUAAAGAAAAAAAAUGUCCUACUUCUUACUUGUGUUUUUUUCUUCUUUUCAUUUUUAUUUUUGUUUUUACUAGAAACAGAAUAAAGGGAUUCUUUAAGGGUUCUUCACUUUCCAAAAUGGGCUUGAACUGUUUCCGAUAGAGAACCACUUUGCUGAAAGGUUCUACACAGAACACUUAAGGGUUCUUAAGUUGUACCGAAUGCAUUUCAGGUAGCGCACCCUGCUGUAGAGUGUAAUUUCAUCUCCUGGUUGUUGUUUUUUUUUUUUUUUUUUAGACUUUUUUAGACAAAAUUGACAGAUAUUUUCCAGAUUUAUUUGAUGAGGGGGAAAAAAAAAAACUAAUAAGGAAAGAAAAAUGGAAUAAAUUCAGUGUGAAAGUGCCGGAGCGGGCGAGGUACGCGAACCGAUUCCUCAAAGGGGCGCUAAACGAGAGUCCGAGCCAGGUUUUAAUUAUCUCGGAAAUUGUCAAGAAGUCCCUUUGCUCAGCUUUUGGCUGCUUUCACCGAAGCGAACUCUCCUGCUGCAGCGGCACUCGCUGGUACACGCCGCUUCAAUCAGGCGUUUACAUGCAGUUGCCAUAACAACAAUAAAACAUCACACCAAGGUCAAUGUUUGUCGGAAACCAGAAUGGAACAUUUAAUCACAUUUAAAAGGUGUUAUUGUUAAUAUUGAGGCAAUUAAGACGCCCUGAAGCUAUAAAGAAGUGAUAUGUGACCUGUUCUGUCGAGCUAAAAGGCAUCCAUCAACGUAGUGAUGACCGUCACUCCGCGUCGUUUCCAACAACGUGAUUAGCACGAGGACUUGCACAAUCAAGGACGGAAAUAAACUCCUGUGCUGUCUUUUUUUAACGCAAAAUAUCAACAGAAAGGAUCAACCUGCCAUAGAAUCUCACGUUCCUACAUCUAUAACGCUUCAUAUUUUAUUUUGUUUUUGACAAGCGAUCCAAUGAAGCAGGGGGGUUUUGCAAGAGGAGGCUGCCAAGUUUUCUUCUACAUCAAAGCCUGAGUCAUCACAGGGAACGUGAGAUCCCACGGGAUUCGCUGCGGGCGUGCGAGCGAGUGGAAGUCAAAAAGGACUGACAGGUGAGCCGCUGAACUGAAGGAAAGGUCAAACAAUGCGGAUGAUAAGCCUGAGAUAUUUGAAUAAUAAUAAAAAAAAAAAGGUUCCUGACCUUGUUGGAGGUGUAAUUCGCUUUCAUGAAGGUCACGAAUCAUCACCGCGGGACAGGGGUUACGCAGGGGUAUUGUCCGACACGAUUAUCGAAUUCUAGAUUCUGAUUGGUCCGAGUGUUUUCUAUAACAGCAGCUCUGACCCUAGUGCCGGUUUACAUUAAUGCGCUCGUUCUAUUGCGUUACCGUUUCUAUAGUAACAGCGCGUCCACGGGGACGCGUACCGUGUACAGACGCUCUGAUGAUAAACAGAUUAAAACACUGUCGAUAUGGUGGGGUUUUCUGUGAGGAGAAAUGUGUUUAUUUAACAUUUAUGGAAGGCGUGUCCAGUGUCAGAGGUAACGCUGUAACUUUAAGUUUUCCCACAUCUUCCCACAGGACAGACGAGUUGACACUGCUUUGUGGUUUCUCUUUCAAGAGAACUUCAAGAGAGAGAGAAUAAAGAGAGGACUGUUGAGAGAGCGACUGAUUAACGCUGCUGUAACAAAACUUCACCACAUCAACGAUCUGUUGUGUGCGUAGUGCUCGCUGUACAAGUCCCUGAGUAUAACGUGCCACAGCUUCAUUUCUCCAUCCCAUCCAGCACUGAAGUACCGUUAGGCUUCUGCCCUCUUUAAAGCCGUAAGAUUCUCGCCGGUGUAAGACGACAGAUUGUGGAUCAAAUACACGAUAAUGUCUGUGAAUGUUCGAGAGUCGAGUCAAAACCAUCGAUCACCAGUUUCCUAGGUAUCGUGCAUCUGAUGUUUCUUUGGAUUUUUCCGCCGUUGCUUUCCUGCUGACGAUCAUAAAUGAUCAUAAAUAGUAUUGCGGCUACAAGAAAAAGACCACGAGACUGAAACGGGUCGAUAUUGCGAGUUGGAGAAACUUGAAAACAGCAGUUAAGAUUUAACAGUGUAAUUACACAACUGAGGAAAUCAUCAGGACAACAAGAUCUAAC
Long non-coding RNA from Ictalurus punctatus (channel catfish), 3037 nucleotides. RefSeq lists it as uncharacterized. The record is from RefSeq and is a predicted model, not a curated record. The transcript has 3 exons. Lineage: Eukaryota; Metazoa; Chordata; Actinopteri; Siluriformes; Ictaluridae.